CGAGUGAACCGGGAUGAGCUCAAAUUUGAAAUCUGGCGUCUUUCAGGCGUCCGAGUUGUAAUCUAUAGAGGCGUUUUCCGCGCCGGACCGCGUCCAAGUCUCUUGGAAUAGAGUAUCAAAGAGGGUGACAAUCCCGUACUUGACGCGACAACCGGUGCUCUGUGAUACGUUCUCAACGAGUCGAGUUGUUUGGGAAUGCAGCUCUAAAUGGGUGGUAAAUUCCAUCUAAGGCUAAAUAUUGGCGAGAGACCGAUAGCGAACAAGUACCGUGAGGGAAAGAUGAAAAGCACUUUGGAAAGAGAGUUAAACAGCACGUGAAAUUGUUAAAAGGGAAACGAUUGAAGUCAGUCGUGUGAAAGGUAUUCAGCCGUCUCUGGCGGUGUAUUUGCCUUUCACGGGUCAACAUCAGUUUAGUCCGGUAGAAAAAGGCUGGAGGAAGGUGGCACCCUCGGGUGUGUUAUAGCCUCCUGUCACAUGUGCCGGAUUAGACUGAGGAACGCAGCUUGCAGCAAUGCCGGGGUUCGCCCACGUACAAGCUUAGG
Molecule: ribosomal RNA, 542 nt
Filed under: Vishniacozyma tephrensis
Lineage: Eukaryota; Fungi; Basidiomycota; Tremellomycetes; Tremellales; Bulleribasidiaceae
Description: LSU rRNA
Rfam family: Eukaryotic large subunit ribosomal RNA
Source: RNAcentral